Molecule: non-coding RNA, 361 nt
Organism: Apodemus sylvaticus (European woodmouse)
Lineage: Eukaryota; Metazoa; Chordata; Mammalia; Rodentia; Muridae
Source: the annotation of a RefSeq genome assembly
AGCCUCCAUUAGAGCAUGGCUGUCCUGGUGCUGCUCCUCUGCCUGCUGACCUUUCCAAGCUGUGUCCUGUCCCAGGUGCAGCUUAAAGAGUCAGGACCUGGCCUGGUGCAGCCCUCACAGACCCUGUCCAUCACAUGCAUUGUCUCUGGGUUCUCAUUAACUGACUAUGGUGUGCACUGGGUUCGCCAACCUCCAGGGAAGGGUCUGGAGUGGAUGGGAGCAAUAUGGUGGAAUGGAAACAUAGAUUAUAAUUCAGCUCUCAAAUCCAGACUGAGCAUCAGCAGGGACACCUCCAAGAGCCAAGUUUUCUUAAAACUGAACAGUCUGCAAACUGAUGACACAGCCACUUACUAAUGUGCCA